RNAcentral lists this ribosomal RNA (527 nucleotides) under Dothideomycetes sp. JG-2021a. RNAcentral's name for it is "SSU rRNA". It matches the Rfam family "Eukaryotic small subunit ribosomal RNA", at positions 32 to 563 of the family's 1831-position model. Lineage: Eukaryota; Fungi; Ascomycota; Dothideomycetes. The record is from RNAcentral.
UUGUCUCAAAGAUUAAGCCAUGCAUGUCUAAGUAUAAGCAACUAUACGGUGAAACUGCGAAUGGCUCAUUAAAUCAGUUAUCGUUUAUUUGAUAGUACCUUACUACUUGGAUAACCGUGGUAAUUCUAGAGCUAAUACAUGCUAAAAGGCCCGACUUCGGAAGGGUCGUAUUUAUUAGAUAAAAAACCAAUGCCCUUCGGGGCUCCUUGGUGAUUCAUAAUAACUUAACGAAUCGCAUGGCCUUGUGCCGGCGAUGGUUCAUUCAAAUUUCUGCCCUAUCAACUUUCGAUGGUAGGAUAGUGGCCUACCAUGGUUUCAACGGGUAACGGGGAAUUAGGGUUCUAUUCCGGAGAGGGAGCCUGAGAAACGGCUACCACAUCCAAGGAAGGCAGCAGGCGCGCAAAUUACCCAAUCCCGACACGGGGAGGUAGUGACAAUAAAUACUGAUACAGGGCUCUUUUGGGUCUUGUAAUUGGAAUGAGUACAAUUUAAAUCCCUUAACGAGGAACAAUUGGAGGGCAAGUCUG